AUAUGAUACCCUCUUCUCUAUGCAUGGCAGGCAUGACUAGUCAAUCAGGAGCCUCUUUCCUAGAUGCUGCCUCUUGUCCUCCAGAUAAAUUGAUGAGGCUCUUCUGUUCCACUUACCCUUUCUCCUAUCCUUUGCCUGUGACAGGCAACACUAAUUGAUCCUAGCACCGUUUCCUGCCACGCCCAGAAUUCUCACCACAGUGCUUCAGGUAUCUUGUACCAGUCGAUUGACAUGGCUCCCGAGAUGAAUCAUAUUUGCUGUCCAUCCCUGCUGUGGGUAACACCUCCUUCCUUUGUGCAGAACCCUCAGCUGGGGCCCAGUGUGGGGCGUGAGAUGGGCGUGAGAUGGGCGUGAGGCCCAGUCCAGCCCAGCCCAGCGGGAAGCAGCCUGCUACUCAUAGCUGAGAACUGAACCCAGCUCAAGGAGCUCACCUCUAGGCAGCUGGCCUCAGCCCGGCUCUUACACUUGGACAGCACAGCCUGGGCCUCCAGUCCUAGCAGGGGCUCCCUUUGGCUGGACAUUCUCCCACUGCCAGCCACCAAGGCGCUGGUCAUCCCUGCCACUGCCCUCUGGCGGGGAUCUUCUGGCAAUCCCAGGGUCUUUCUUGUAGCUGAGCCGAUCCUAUGCCAGGGCCUCGCUGCUCCCAGGGCCUGGGUGUGCAGAUAGGGCCAUGGGUGGGGGCAGUGAUGGGAGGAAUUAGUUGGCCUCGGGCUUGUGGUUUUCAGGUUCCUCAUGUGUUCCCCCCAGUCCCCUUGAAUUUGCCAGGCCAAGACCAGGAACCUGCUUCUCCCUUGUACCCCAAGAGGUUUAGGGGUUCCUCUUUUCCUACCAGAGGCCACAUAGCCCAGCCCUGUCAUGAGCGUGGCCGUGGCCUCUGGGUCUCCCAUCUGUGGUUCCCAUCUCUACCCGGGAGACUCAGGCCAGGACCCUCACCCAGGAAAGAGACUGGAGCAGCCUGCCAGAGGAUCCCUGCUUUGCCGCCCCCUGCCUGCCCUGCCAUCCAUACCGCCCCAUGUGCCUGCCUGCCUGUCACUGUGCACCCUAGCCCGCAACGGCCUGCCGCCUCUUCUGUCUCUCCCACCCCUACUUCCUUCUAAGCCCAGUCCCAUUGGGAUGUGUCCCUUGGAUGCAAACCUGACUUUCUGCUGAGGCCUGGCUGCUCCCUUUCUCUGGCUCGCAAGUGGUGGAUGGCUAACAGGGCCUUUGUUUGCCACCCACAGCUUGCAGCUCCCUAGGGUGGGAUUUUGUCUCUGAACCCGUGUGGAGAAGGGCACCUCAGGGCUUCUGCCAGACGUCCUGCCCCAAGGCUUGGUGUGCCAUCCCUAGCAUGGCCCCGAUCAGUGCUCUGGCCCUGUGGCCAUGCACCCCAAAGUGUAGCGUGGGCCCUGUGCUCCAGCUCUGACCAACACUAACCCCGGCUGGAGGCAGGACAGCCAGGCCACCGAGGGGUGUGCAGGCACAUCCCUCUCCUUGGAAACCGGGCCAGGCCUAGGAGUAUGGAGGCCUCACAUUUCUCUGGGGGAGCACCGACAGCCUGUCUCCCUGUUUUCCCUCACCUGGUUGUCAUUCAGUCAUGGAACCAGGGUCUACUAAGCACUCGUUCUGUGCCCAGCUCUGGGCUGAGACAAGGCAGUGCCCCCACCCCGCUCCCCCUGGGUGAAUGGAGGCAUUCCCAGAAUGCCAGGCCUUUGGUGCUAACACCAGGACGUCCUGGACGGACCAGGAAGAGCUCGUCACUGCGUUCCCAGAGGGGAUGCUGUGACCUCACAGGGGCUGCUGGCCUCAGCCCCCUCACCCACCACCAGGCAGCCCGUGAAUGGCCAGAUGCCAGGGGUCACUGCCUGCUCCAAACAACUGUGAGAGUCCUGUCUGCUCAUCCCAGGGAGGGAUAAGUCUGUACCCUUGGCCUUAACAAGGGGCGCCCGGUGGCAUCUCAUGCUGUCCCCAGCCUGGGCAGUGACUUCUGCAUGGUCCCGGGGUCCCUGGGUACUCUUUAGCCACCUCCGUCUUCAUGGCCACCUGGGGCUUAGCACUCACAUCCAGCCACCAAGGAGCCGCUGGAGCUGUGGGCUGGUGGCCCUGGUUCAGAAUGUCAGGCCCGGGGUGGGUCGGGGUAGUCCGGAUGAAGCCCCUCCAGAGGACCGCCCCUGACUAGGACAGCAUCUGGGCCCCAGAGGGAUUCCUGGAGGCCCCAUCUCUGGCGCUCCUGCUGUGCCGUGCCCUGCCAUGCCCUGCACUGGGGGAUGCAGGCCAGCCCUUCACAGCUGUCCGUGGACAUGCUCAGCCCACCCUUUGUAGCUUGGCCAAGUCUGUCAGUGCCUGGGUCCCAGGCCGCCCUGUGCGUGCCUCCGUGUGCUUCCUGCAGCUCCCAGGGCCCUCGUCCUGAGUGGGGUGGGGGGCUCUGCCCACACAUGCCUCCAGCGGCCAGGGAGCAUGGGAGCACAACCCCCAGGCUGCCUGCCGUUAGCUGUCAGGUGAGUCCCUGCGCAGGCCUGGGUUCUGACCCCCACGCAGAUGACAGCUACAGCCACACAAUCCCCAUCCAUGGGGUCUCCCAGCCUGAAACCCUGAUGUGUCAGUCAAAAGGAUGACCACCAGGCUUGCAGCCAGCUUGGGACAUGAGCCGCGCUCCUUCAGUGUCCUUGGGGAGGGCCCCUGGGCUCACACCUUUGACUCUAGCCCUCUGUGUGGAUGCUACCCUUGGAACCUUAUCUCACGCAAACAAGUGCAGUUCCUCAGAUGUCACAUUUCAUGUGCCACAGCCCCACACACAAGCCCCAGGGACUCCUCCCAUGGGCCCCUUUCCAUCAGGCCUCUGUGACUCUAUACCCCAUCAGCCCCUGGCCCAGUGAGUCUGUCUGUCCGCCCACCUGCCCAGGUGGCACCUCAUGUUGGUUUCCUGCUGGAAAUGCUUGGGACAGGGUGGAACUGGGUUUCCUGGGCUUUGGGGCUGGAGGUGUCUCUAUCGCGGUCCCCGGCUUCCCACUGAGCUGUGGGCAAGGCUGCUGCGCUGGGGGAUGGCUGGGGCACGGAGCGAGGUUCCCUGCUAAGCUGCGCGCUUUCCCCCAGGUGAUCCGCAGGGGCUGGCUGACCAUCAACAACAUCAGCCUGAUGAAAGGCGGCUCCAAGGAGUACUGGUUUGUGCUGACUGCCGAGUCGCUGUCCUGGUACAAGGAUGAGGAGGAGAAAGAGAAGAAGUACAUGCUGCCUCUGGACAACCUCAAGAUCCGUGAUGUGGAGAAGGGCUUCAUGUCCAACAAGCACGUCUUCGCCAUCUUCAACACGGAGCAGAGAAACGUCUACAAGGACCUGCGGCAGAUCGAGCUGGCCUGUGACUCCCAGGAGGACGUGGACAGCUGGAAGGCCUCGUUCCUCCGAGCUGGCGUCUACCCCGAGAAGGACCAGGUGAGGAGCCGUCCUGCGCAGCCAGGCCCAGCAGCCCCCACCUGGGAGAGGAAGCGGGGCUGGCUUUCCCCAGGACAGGUCAUUUUCAGGCCAUGUUAGCCAGGAGUCUCUGAAAUCAUGUAGCAGAUGCCCACUUGAGCAAGCAAAGGAGAAAUUGGGGGUACUUUGUCAUCAGGGCCCAGAAAGUUCCCUCACGGAAGCCAGUGACCGGGGCACACAGGGGAUGGGGUCCCACUUGCUUUGUUCUCCUCUCUUUUCCCCUUCCAUCCUGAGGUAGAGUGAACAUGGCCACCCUUGGCCCCAAUAUUAAAAUGUCUUGCCGGGCACGGUGGGUGGUUCGCCCCUGUAAUCCCAGCACUUUGGGAGGCUGAGGCGGGCAGAUCAUUUGAGCUCAGGGGUUCGAAACCAGCCUGGCCAACAUGGUGAAACCCCGUCUCUACUAAAACUACAAAAAUUAGCCAGGCAUGGUGGUACGUGCCUGUAAUCCCAGUUACUCAGGAGGCUUAGGCAGGAGAUCGCUUAAACCCGGGAGGUAGAGGUUGCAGUGAGCUGAGAUCACGCCAUUGCACUCCAGCCUGGGCGACAGAGCAAGACUCCAUCUCAAAAAUAAAAUAAAAUGUCCCAAGGUUGAGUGUGGUGGCUUACACCUGCAAUCCCAACACUUUGGGAGGCGAUGUGGGCAGAUCCUUUGGGCCCAGGAGUUCGAAAACAGCCUGGGCAAUGUUGCAAAACCCUUCUCUCCAAAAAAUACAAACAUACCCAGGCAUGGUGGCACACCCCUGUAAUCCCAUCUACUCCAGGGCGCUGAGGUGGGAGGAUCACUUGAGCUCUCCCUGGGAGGUUGAGGCUGUGGUGAACUGUGUUUGUGCCACUGCACUGCAGCCUGGGUGACAUAGCAAGACUGUGUC
RNAcentral lists this small RNA (4313 nucleotides) under Pan troglodytes (chimpanzee). Its description in RNAcentral is "retained intron". Lineage: Eukaryota; Metazoa; Chordata; Mammalia; Primates; Hominidae. The record is from RNAcentral.